RNAcentral lists this ribosomal RNA (301 nucleotides) under uncultured bacterium. Its description in RNAcentral is "partial 16S ribosomal RNA". It matches the Rfam family "Bacterial small subunit ribosomal RNA", at positions 509 to 809 of the family's 1533-position model. The record is from RNAcentral.
CAGCCGCCGCGGUAAUACGUAGGUGGCAAGCGUUGUCCGGAAUUAUUGGGCGUAAAGCGCGCGCAGGCGGAUCAGUUAGUCUGUCUUAAAAGUUCGGGGCUUAACCCCGUGAUGGGAUGGAAACUGCUGAUCUAGAGUAUCGGAGAGGAAAGUGGAAUUCCUAGUGUAGCGGUGAAAUGCGUAGAUAUUAGGAAGGACACCAGUGGCGAAGGCGACUUUCUGGACGAAAACUGACGCUGAGGCGCGAAAGCCAGGGGAGCGAACGGGAUUAGAUACCCCCGUAGUCCCUGUCUCUUAUACA